CGUUUCGUUAAAGAAUUGUCUGUUUAUCGUUUAUAAAUAGCUCAAAAUCUCCCCAACGGACCGACCGAAAGGCUUUUAGAAAAGUCCGCUCUCGGACAGAAAAAAAGAAAAAAAAAAAGUUAUAAUAACAAAACGGCCGAUCCCGAAAUGAUAAUAACGAUGACAUUAAUAAUAAUAAUAAUAACAAUAAUGUACUCCGAAGCGAAAUUGCGAAAUUACGGCUUGUCGCGAGUAGUCGUCGUGGCGUAUUUUCAUCCGGGU
Cinara cedri is the source of this 261-nucleotide non-coding RNA. NCBI's taxonomy places the organism in Eukaryota, Metazoa, Arthropoda, Insecta, Hemiptera, Aphididae. The record is from the annotation of a GenBank genome assembly.